RNAcentral lists this ribosomal RNA (783 nucleotides) under uncultured Mycobacterium sp. Its description in RNAcentral is "bacterial SSU rRNA". It matches the Rfam family "Bacterial small subunit ribosomal RNA", at positions 553 to 1334 of the family's 1533-position model. Lineage: Bacteria; Bacillati; Actinomycetota; Actinomycetes; Mycobacteriales; Mycobacteriaceae. The record is from RNAcentral.
ACUGGGCGUAAAGAGCUCGUAGGUGGUUUGUCGCGUUGUUCGUGAAAUCUCACGGCUUAACUGUGAGCGUGCGGGCGAUACGGGCAGACUUGAGUACUGCAGGGGAGACUGGAAUUCCUGGUGUAGCGGUGGAAUGCGCAGAUAUCAGGAGGAACACCGGUGGCGAAGGCGGGUCUCUGGGCAGUAACUGACGCUGAGGAGCGAAAGCGUGGGGAGCGAACAGGAUUAGAUACCCUGGUAGUCCACGCCGUAAACGGUGGGUACUAGGUGUGGGUUUCCUUCCUUGGGAUCCGUGCCGUAGCUAACGCAUUAAGUACCCCGCCUGGGGAGUACGGCCGCAAGGCUAAAACUCAAAGAAAUUGACGGGGGCCCGCACAAGCGGCGGAGCAUGUGGAUUAAUUCGAUGCAACGCGAAGAACCUUACCUGGGUUUGACAUGCACAGGACGCCGGCAGAGAUGUCGGUUCCCUUGUGGCCUGUGUGCAGGUGGUGCAUGGCUGUCGUCAGCUCGUGUCGUGAGAUGUUGGGUUAAGUCCCGCAACGAGCGCAACCCUUGUCUCAUGUUGCCAGCGGGUAAUGCCGGGGACUCGUGAGAGGCUGCCGGGGUCAACUCGGAGGAAGGUGGGGAUGACGUCAAGUCAUCAUGCCCCUUAUGUCCAGGGCUUCACACAUGCUACAAUGGCCGGUACAAAGGGCUGCGAUGCCGCGAGGUUAAGCGAAUCCUUUUAAAGCCGGUCUCAGUUCGGAUCGGGGUCUGCAACUCGACCCCGUGAAGUCGGAGUCG